UUCUGGCUCAGGAUGAACGCUAGCUACAGGCUUAACACAUGCAAGUCGAGGGGCAGCAUAACGAAAGCUUGCUUUGUUGAUGGCGACCGGCGCACGGGUGAGUAACGCGUAUCCAACCUUCCCCUUAGUAGGGCAUAGCCCGUAGAAAUGCGGAUUAAUACCCUAUGUUCUUCGAAGCGGUCAUCCAAUUUGAAGCAAAGAUUCAUCGCUAAGGGAUGGGGAUGCGUCCGAUUAGGUUGUUGGCGGGGUAACGGCCCACCAAGCCAUCGAUCGGUAGGGGUUCUGAGAGGAAGGUCCCCCACAUUGGAACUGAGACACGGUCCAAACUCCUACGGGAGGCAGCAGUGAGGAAUAUUGGUCAAUGGACGAGAGUCUGAACCAGCCAAAGUAGCGUGCAGGACGACGGCCCUAUGGGUUGUAAACUGCUUUUAUACAGGGAUAAAGUCGGGGACGUGUCCCCGUUUGUAGGUACUGUAUGAAUAAGGACCGGCUAAUUCCGUGCCAGCCGCAGC
This 512-nucleotide ribosomal RNA is filed under the name uncultured bacterium. Its description in RNAcentral is "bacterial SSU rRNA". It matches the Rfam family "Bacterial small subunit ribosomal RNA", at positions 17 to 518 of the family's 1533-position model. The record is from RNAcentral.